This is a non-coding RNA of Danionella cerebrum, 66 nucleotides long. The record is from the annotation of a GenBank genome assembly. NCBI's taxonomy places the organism in Eukaryota, Metazoa, Chordata, Actinopteri, Cypriniformes, Danionidae.
GCCUGGCUAGCUCAGUCGGUAGAGCAUGAGACUCUUAGGUCGUGGUUUCGAGCCCCACUUUGGGCG